AAAUGACCACUUCAAAGAACAUGCAAGUAUCUAUGUCAUUAACAAUUGCAAACAUAAGUUUCUUUUUACUAUAGUUGUUGUAUGUACUAUCACACAGUUCCUCAUUCUGUUCUCACUCAAUAAUAAUAAAAAUGAAAAGAGAAGAUAGAGAUAAUCUGCCGCAAUUGCACUUCGGUGUCAUGGAUUCAGUCUGCCGCUUCAACAUCUCAUUAUCCGGCAGCACUCUGUCGCUAUCUUCUACCUAUGAAUAAAAACAGACCUUGUUAGAGAAGCAAAUGUGAAACCUUAUUACAACAUGUAUGCUAAGUCGCUAACCCAUAGAGACAGCUAGAACAAAUGUGGAAACUUUCCAUGUUGCCGAGCAAGUAUAUUAACUAGACAAAGUUAGAUGACAGUGAAGCUUAAAGCUGCAGUAAGAAAUAUUAGAUAUACACAUUUUUAAAAUCAACCUCAGAAGUGGAUACUCUAGUAGACCUACAAGAGCAGAUAUGGUAGUAACCAAAAUCCUAUAAAGAUUCGAGGUUAAAGAUUAUAAAUCCAAUUUGUCAUUAGCAUAAAAAUAUUAGUUCCAUGAAGAAGUUUGUCAAGAGAUAUUUUCUAGUGUUUCUAAGACAGUGACUGAAACAUAAUGAAAGAAAACACGUUUCUGCAUUUUAAUUAGGGGGAGCUUUAGUUCUAAAAUACUGGAACUGUGACUGAAUGAUCAUAUAUACUAUUAGAAAAACAGACCAAAAUCCCCGCAGAACAAAACAGACCAAAAAAAUUAACUUCCUACUUAUAGUGGCAAGAAAAUCUUAUAUGAAUGUGUUAUAAUAAAUAAUGCUAACCAUGAAGUCUUCUUCCAUAUAACAAAGGAGUGACGAAACCAAAAAACCUGUAAUUCAAGUAUGACAAGCAGUUAGUUAAUUAUUUGCAUGUCAACAGUUCUAAUGUCUAGCUACAGAUCUUCAAAGUAAAGAUUGUGAACUCUAUUAGACAUGAUUAUAUCAAUUAGACCAAAUAGAAAAUAAUUCAAUAUGUUGUAUAUCCAUUAAACGAAGUUCAAUCUAUCUUCUGAUUAUUAGUGUUUUAGUUAGGUGAUUAGUCCUUCUACGGCCGCCGGUUAAUAGGUGAGCCAUGACUUUUUACAGUAAAAAAUGCAAAGGAAAUAACAAGUUAGUAUUUUUCCAAAUCUAAUUAUACGGCCACGUUGAUCAUACCUUACUAAUUCUGGCCGGACACUAGUAAAACAAGAAAAACUCCCAUGCUUUAUCGGUGCACAUUCACCAUUUGAUAGUGUGAUCAUUUGAGAUCACUAAAUCAUCUUCUAUACGA
This 1314-nucleotide long non-coding RNA is filed under the name Triticum aestivum (bread wheat). RNAcentral's name for it is "long non-coding RNA (TAES_LNC010845)". The record is from RNAcentral. Lineage: Eukaryota; Viridiplantae; Streptophyta; Magnoliopsida; Poales; Poaceae.